This is a long non-coding RNA of Alligator mississippiensis (American alligator), 1582 nucleotides long. RefSeq lists it as uncharacterized. The transcript is spliced from 2 exons. The record is from RefSeq and is a predicted model, not a curated record. Lineage: Eukaryota; Metazoa; Chordata; Crocodylia; Alligatoridae.
GCCUGCGCAACAGGAAUGAAAGCAGAGGCUGGUUUUGACAGCGGCCGUGACAAUUUAAUGACCCCUCGUGACAUCAGAGCCAGGCCUGAGAUGCUUGCAUCUUGGGACGGACUGGCUGACCUCUCAAGGUCACUUCCCGCUCCGGUUGCCACAACGGGCAAACACGUGUCCUGCUUUCCAGAGCUUGCUCACCGGAGAGCUCAGGGCGGGAUUUCUGUGCUGCUCUUUGCCCCCCGAACAGAUGUUACUGCAAUGGAGGCAUGGUUGGGACUCAGAAAGCACGCGAUCCUCAUCCCACCGUCAGGAUGCCUCGUUCUGCGGUGGCAAGAUGCCAGUUCACCCCAGCAAGGCAAUAAUGGCCCUGAAUAAUUAAGUGCACGUUCCUACUCCCUGGAGACCCCUGAGAGUUGCUGGGAGCUCGAGGGCAGCAGAAGCAGACCCUAAAGCUGGAAACUCGAUAUCCUUUUUGCUGAAGGGUAAUAAAUCAACCUAUUUUUAAAUUUUUUGUUUAAUAAAAAGGUGUUGCUUCCCUUAAAACAGUCAUCACCCCCCAUUCAGCAAAUCCAGACCUCUUCCUAUCCACACAAAACCGACUGGGCAAACACAACAGGAAGAAAUCUUCCGAGGGGAAAGAGUUUGUUUGAUUUUAGCUGAACAUGACUUCUGACGUGACUCCAGGAUCCAGUCUCUGUACUGGGAGAGGGCUAUCUUUUCCUUGACAAAUUAAUGCAGCGUUUUGGUUUUUUUCAUGAGCUCGGAUACUACAGUAAUGGGAACAGUAGCAGAGCCAACCUAAUCCAAAGGGAAGGCUGUCGGGGUUGUUUCAUGCAAUAAUGGAGAAUUGACUGGUUUUGUGAUCAGUCUGCUAGGAUCUGAAACUCCUCCCUCGAAACGUCUCAUAGAUGAGUUGUCCCUUCUGGGCGCCUGUAUUGGCUUCUUUGGAAUAGUAUUUAGACAUUUCUAAUCUGAUGUCAUAAUUGCUCGAACGAAGCCUGCUGUUGCUAACAACAGCCUUUUAUAUCUUUGGAGCAUUGUACAAAAAUUAAGUCAUUCUUGCGACAGUCCGUUAAGGCCCUCGGAUCUAUCUUCCAGAUAGGGAAACUGAGGCAGGGAGGCUUAAUUACUUUCCCAAAGCUAGUGGCAAGGAAGUGGCAGAGAGGAGAUUAAAACCUCAAGACUUCUCGGCUCCCAGACCUGCUUUGAGUCCUGAGGUCAUGCUGUCUUUCCGUGAGCAAUGCAUAGAGAGCGUUGCUCCCGUGCACUUGGUAUCUCACAACCUUUGACAAAGAUUUCACUAGGACAUUGAAGCAAGAAGCCACAAGUAAGUGCUUUGGAGCCCAAGGAGUUGGAUGAAAGGACCAGCAGUAAAAUGACUGACUCGUCUUAUUUUUCUGAAUACUUGAGGGUCUGUGUCACUUCUUAAUGUUGUUUAAAUGUGGCUUUUUAUCUAACGCUGUUGUUUCUGUGAGUACAGAUAGAGCAGCAACACGAAUUGAUUGUACUGUAUGUUUUUUUUAAGUUGAACAAUGUAACCCUGUCAGUUUUCUCAGCGAUCUCAGUGCAUAAAAGCCUACUUAAUGAA